RNAcentral lists this ribosomal RNA (578 nucleotides) under uncultured bacterium. RNAcentral's name for it is "partial 16S ribosomal RNA". It matches the Rfam family "Bacterial small subunit ribosomal RNA", at positions 356 to 932 of the family's 1533-position model. The record is from RNAcentral.
UGGGGAAUUUGGACAAUGGCGAAAGCCUGAUCCAGCAAUGCCGCGUGUGUGAAGAAGGCCUUCGGGUUGUAAAGCACUUUUGUCCGGAAAGAAAUCCUUGGCUCUAAUACAGUCGGGGGAUGACGGUACCGGAAGAAUAAGCACCGGCUAACUACGUGCCAGCAGCCGCGGUAAUACGUAGGGUGCAAGCGUUAAUCGGAAUUACUGGGCGUAAAGCGUGCGCAGGCGGUUUGCUAAGACCGAUGUGAAAUCCCCGGGCUCAACCUGGGAACUGCAUUGGUGACUGGCAGGCUAGAGUAUGGCAGAGGGGGGUAGAAUUCCACGUGUAGCAGUGAAAUGCGUAGAGAUGUGGAGGAAUACCGAUGGCGAAGGCAGCCCCCUGGGCCAAUACUGACGCUCAUGCACGAAAGCGUGGGGAGCAAAACAGGAUUAGAUACCCUGGUAGUCCACGCCCUAAACGAUGUCNGCUAGUUGUUGGGGAUUCAUUUCCUUAGUAACGUAGCUAACGCGUGAAGUUGACCGCCUGGGGAGUACGGUCGCAAGAUUAAAACUCAAAGGAAUUGACGGGGUCAUAGCUG